CGCCGAGGCUAGCGGAACGCGAAUCUGGCUGGACUCCUCCUGGCGCGUUUCCAGCUCUGGAGGUCCUAAACUCGCUCUGACUCGAAAGGGAGAAGCCCUCCUAGCAGGGUAACCUGCAUGUUACCAGCUGAAGAGAGACAAAACUCAGCAUGGAGCACACACAGCAACAUCCCAACAGCCUAUCUCAGAGAAGCCAUGAAGACAGGAGGCCGCCACUCAUUACCAAGGCCCUUUCCAGCCCCAGGUCUGGGAGCAGAUCUUUCAAGUCUACACAUCUAGGGAUCUCUGGAAGGUCCUCUUCAGUCUCUGCUCUCUUAUCUUUUAUCACCCGCUCACAUACUGUAUACUUUAUUUUUUAUUAUUAUUUUUGGGAUGAAGUUUCCUUUUUGUUGCCCAGGCUGGAGUGCAAUGGCACAGUCUUGGCUCACUGCAACCUCCACCUUCUGGGUUCAAGCCAUUUUCUUGCCUCAGCCUCCCAAGUAGCUGAGAUUACAGGUGCCAGCCACCAUGCCCUGCUAAUUUUUUUGUUUUUUGUAUUUUUAGAAGAGACAAGGUUUCACCAUGUUGGCCACGCUGGUCUCGAACUCCUAACCUCAGGUGAUCUGCCCACCUCAGCCUCCCAAAGUGCUGGGCUCGCCCCUGUGUACUUUACCUAUUUAUCCAGUUUCUCUCUCCUCCACUCUAAUGUGAGCUUGCCACAGACCGGGAUUUCUAUCAGUCUUGUUCACUGCUAUAUACUCACUCAUAGGUAUGUAUCCAGUUCCUAGAACAGUGGUUGGCACAUGAUAGGUGCCCAGUAAACAUUUGUUGAGUAAA
Non-coding RNA from Callithrix jacchus (white-tufted-ear marmoset), 816 nucleotides. The record is from RefSeq and is a predicted model, not a curated record. NCBI's taxonomy places the organism in Eukaryota, Metazoa, Chordata, Mammalia, Primates, Cebidae.